RNAcentral lists this ribosomal RNA (253 nucleotides) under uncultured bacterium. Its description in RNAcentral is "partial 16S ribosomal RNA". It matches the Rfam family "Bacterial small subunit ribosomal RNA", at positions 524 to 776 of the family's 1533-position model. The record is from RNAcentral.
UACAGAGGUGGCAAGCGUUGUUCGGAAUUACUGGGCGUAAAGGGCGCGUAGGCGGCCCUCUAAGUCAGACGUGAAAUCCCCCGGCUUAACCUGGGAACUGCGUCUGAUACUGGAGGGCUUGAGUAUGGGAGAGGGAUGUAGAAUUCCAGGUGUAGCGGUGAAAUGCGUAGAUAUCGUAAGGAAGACCAGUGGCGAAGGCGAGUCUCUGGACAGUUACUGACACUGAGGCACGAAGGCCAGGGGAGCAAACGGG